UGCGCCUUGCCAGCCCGCUCAGAAACUUAAAGGAAUUGACGGGGGCCCGCACAAGCGGCGGAGCAUGUGGAUUAAUUCGAUGCAACGCGAAGAACCUUACCGUGGGUUUGACAUACCACCGGAAAACCGUAGAGAUACGGUUCCCCUUGUGGUCGGUGUACAGGUGGUGCAUGGCUGUCGUCAGCUCGUGUCGUGAGAUGUUGGGUUAAGUCCCGCAACGAGCGCAACCCUUGUCUUAUGUUGCCAGCACGUGAUGGUGGGGACUCGUAAGAGACUGCCGGGGUCAACUCGGAGGAAGGUGGGGACGACGUCAAGUCAUCAUGCCCCUUAUGUCCAGGGCGACACACGUGCUACAAUGGCCGGCACAGCGGGAAGCGGAGGGGCGACCCUGAGCGGAUCCCUUGAAAGCCGGUCCCAGUUCGGAUUGCAGUCUGCAACUCGACUGCAUGAAGUUGGAAUCGCUAGUAAUCGCGGAUCAGCCAAGCCGCGGUGAAUACGUUCCCGGGCCUU
This 510-nucleotide ribosomal RNA is filed under the name uncultured Rhodococcus sp. Its description in RNAcentral is "bacterial SSU rRNA". It matches the Rfam family "Bacterial small subunit ribosomal RNA", at positions 903 to 1382 of the family's 1533-position model. The record is from RNAcentral. Lineage: Bacteria; Bacillati; Actinomycetota; Actinomycetes; Mycobacteriales; Nocardiaceae.